UUAUUGAAUAUAAAGAAAAGACGAACAGCUCAGUAACUCUUAUUUUAUUUGAUGUAUUAGGAUUAUAACUAUGUUAAAUUAUAGAUAACAAUAAUACAAUAAGAAUAAGAUCUAUCAGUUAGUUGUUAAGGUAAUGGCUUAACAAGACUAUGACGGAUAACGGUAUUACUUUGUAAUAUUCCGGAGAAGGAGCCUGAGAGAUUGCUACUAAGUCUAAGGAUUGCAGCAGGGGCGAAACUUGACCUAUGAUAUGAUAUUGAGGCAGUUAUGAGUAGUAUUUUUAAUUAUUGUAGUAUUGUAAGUAUAUACUACAAGAUAAAUCGGAGGGCAAAUCGAGUGCCAGCAGCCGCGGUAAUACUUGUUCCGAUAGUGUGUAUGAUGAUUGAUGCAGUUAAAAAGUCUGUAGUUUAUGAUUAAUAAGCAUUGUGAGGUAUAUUGUAUGGUUAGGAGAGAGAUGAAAUGUGAUAACCCUAACUGGAUGAACAGAAGCGAAAGCUAUAUACUUAAAUGUAUUAUUAGAACAAGGACGUAAGCUAGAGGAUCGAAGAUGAUUAGAUACCAUUGUAGUUCUAGCAGUAAACUAUGUUAAAUCAUAGAUACAUUUUAAUAUGUAUUUAUGUAAAGAAAUUAAGAUUAUAUUGACUCUGGGGAUAGUAUGAUCGCAAGAUUGAAAAUUAAAGAAAUUGACGGAAGAAUACCACAAGGAGUGGAUUGUGCGGC
Molecule: ribosomal RNA, 720 nt
Filed under: Nosema granulosis
Lineage: Eukaryota; Fungi; Microsporidia; Nosematidae
Description: partial small subunit ribosomal RNA
Rfam family: Microsporidia small subunit ribosomal RNA
Source: RNAcentral